Ovis aries (sheep) is the source of this 73-nucleotide transfer RNA. It matches the Rfam family "tRNA". From Rfam's summary of the family: Transfer RNA (tRNA) molecules are approximately 80 nucleotides in length. Their secondary structure includes four short double-helical elements and three loops (D, anti-codon, and T loops). Further hydrogen bonds mediate the characteristic L-shaped molecular structure. tRNAs have two regions of fundamental functional importance: the anti-codon, which is responsible for specific mRNA codon recognition, and the 3' end, to which the tRNAs corresponding amino acid is attached (by aminoacyl-tRNA synthetases). tRNAs cope with the degeneracy of the genetic code in two manners: having more than one tRNA (with a specific anti-codon) for a particular amino acid; and 'wobble' base-pairing, i.e. permitting non-standard base-pairing at the 3rd anti-codon position. Lineage: Eukaryota; Metazoa; Chordata; Mammalia; Artiodactyla; Bovidae. The record is from Rfam.
UCUCUGAUGGUUCAGUGGCUAAGACUCUGCGCUCCCAAUGCAAGGGUCCUGGGUUCGAUCCCUGGUCAGGCAA